UAAUAAACGAUGCCUGGCUCCCCGUGUC
RNAcentral lists this small RNA (28 nucleotides) under Bombyx mori (domestic silkworm). RNAcentral describes it as "ovarian small RNA-19495". The record is from RNAcentral. Lineage: Eukaryota; Metazoa; Arthropoda; Insecta; Lepidoptera; Bombycidae.